This 593-nucleotide unclassified non-coding RNA is filed under the name Bombus terrestris (buff-tailed bumblebee). RNAcentral's name for it is "misc RNA ENSBTSG00005023244.1". Lineage: Eukaryota; Metazoa; Arthropoda; Insecta; Hymenoptera; Apidae. The record is from RNAcentral.
CUAAAACGUUAACUUCGUUUCGAUUCUGUGAUCGAAAAUCGGAGACAAAUCCAAGAAUUCUUCUUAGGAAAGGGUCGAUUUCGCAGUGGAGCCAAAAGGGCGAUCCAGCAACGCAGUAACGAACUGUCUCUCGGCGGCGAGCAUGCGGCAAUUAAUCAAGCCGCAAUAAAUUAAUUGCCGCUCAGGCAGGAAUUAAUUACCACCCCGGCAAUAAUUAUGGCUAACGCAGAAAUAAUUAUCGUGCGCCACGGCAACGCGUUGAUCCCUCUGCACGACGAUAAUCCGCUGGUAAUUCGAUACAUUAAUGCAUCUGGAAGAAAGAUCGCAAAGCGAAAUAUAAGCCAGCCACCGUUUCGCGCGCAGUUUUAUCAUCCUACCGACGCAAAUGUCGUUUAUUAAUUGGAGCACCGAUUAAGUCAAAGGGCUCGUGUAUAAGGUGGUCGAAGACGUUAUUCAAAAGCAAUUCUCAAUGCGAUUCGUUUUAUGGACUAUGGUGCUUCGUUACGAAAUGAAGUUUCCUUGCACGAACAUUGCGGUGCCGGAAGAAUUUUUGUUUGAUGCGUUUCGCGUAGCAUUAAAAAACAUAUGGCAUG